RNAcentral lists this non-coding RNA (30 nucleotides) under Rattus norvegicus (Norway rat). Lineage: Eukaryota; Metazoa; Chordata; Mammalia; Rodentia; Muridae. The record is from RNAcentral.
UGCGAUGUUGUGUCAUACACAUUACAUUCG